GACGAACCGUGCAAACGUUGUUCGGAAUAACUGGGCUUAAAGGGCGCGUAGGCGGGCCAGCCAGUCUGUGGUGAAAGCCUCCAGCUUAACUGGAGAAGUGCCGUGGAUACUGCUGGCCUCGAGGAGGGUAGUGGCAUCUUGAACGGUCGGUGGAGCGGUGAAAUGCGUUGAUAUCGACCGGAACUCCGGUGGCGAAGGCGAGGUGCUGGGCCCUUUCUGACGCUGAGUGCGCGAAAGCCAGGGGAGCAAACGGG
RNAcentral lists this ribosomal RNA (254 nucleotides) under uncultured bacterium. RNAcentral describes it as "partial 16S ribosomal RNA". It matches the Rfam family "Bacterial small subunit ribosomal RNA", at positions 524 to 776 of the family's 1533-position model. The record is from RNAcentral.